AAAGUAGCUUGCUACUGGACCUAGCGGCGGACGGGUGAGUAAUGCUUAGGAAUCCGCCUAUUAGUGGGGGACAACAUCUCGAAAGGGAUGCUAAUACCGCAUACGUCCUACGGGAGAAAGCAGGGGACCUUCGGGCCUUGCGCUAAUAGAUGAGCCUAAGUCGGAUUAGCUAGUUGGUGGGGUAAAGGCCUACCAAGGCGACGAUCUGUAGCGGGUCUGAGAGGAUGAUCCGCCACACUGGGACUGAGACACGGCCCAGACUCCUACGGGAGGCAGCAGUGGGGAAUAUUGGACAAUGGGGGGAACCCUGAUCCAGCCAUGCCGCGUGUGUGAAGAAGGCCUUUUGGUUGUAAAGCACUUUAAGCGAGGAGGAGGCUACCGAGAUUAAUACUCUUGGAUAGUGGACGUUACUCGCAGAAUAAGCACCGGCUAACUCUGUGCCAGCAGCCGCGGUAAUACAGAGGGUGCAAGCGUUAAUCGGAUUUACUGGGCGUAAAGCGCGCGUAGGUGGCCAAUUAAGUCAAAUGUGAAAUCCCCGAGCUUAACUUGGGAAUUGCAUUCGAUACUGGUUGGCUAGAGUAUGGGAGAGGAUGGUAGAAUUCCAGGUGUAGCGGUGAAAUGCGUAGAGAUCUGGAGGAAUACCGAUGGCGAAGGCAGCCAUCUGGCCUAAUACUGACACUGAGGUGCGAAAGCAUGGGGAGCAAACAGGAUUAGAUACCCUGGUAGUCCAUGCCGUAACGAUGUCUACUAGCCGUUGGGGCCUUUGAGGCUUUAGUGGCGCAGCUAACGCGAUAAGUAGACCGCCUGGGGAGUACGGUCGCAAGACUAAAACUCAAAUGAAUUGACGGGGGCCCGCACAAGCGGUGGAGCAUGUGGUUUAAUUCGAUGCAACGCGAAGAACCUUACCUGGUCUUGACAUAGU
Molecule: ribosomal RNA, 922 nt
Filed under: uncultured bacterium
Lineage: Bacteria
Description: bacterial SSU rRNA
Rfam family: Bacterial small subunit ribosomal RNA
Source: RNAcentral